RNAcentral lists this ribosomal RNA (372 nucleotides) under uncultured bacterium. RNAcentral describes it as "bacterial SSU rRNA". It matches the Rfam family "Bacterial small subunit ribosomal RNA", at positions 523 to 898 of the family's 1533-position model. The record is from RNAcentral.
AUACGGAGGAUGCAAGCGUUAUCCGGAUUCAUUGGGUUUAAAGGGUGCGCAGGCGGAUUAUUAAGUCAGUGGUGAAAUCCUACAGCUCAACUGUAGAACUGCCAUUGAUACUGAUAAUCUUGAGUGUAUUUGAAGUGGGCGGAAUGUAGCAUGUAGCGGUGAAAUGCAUAGAUAUGCUACAGAACACCAAUUGCGAAGGCAGCUCACUAAACUACAACUGACGCUCAUGCACGAAAGCGUGUGGAUCAAACAGGAUUAGAGACCCUGGUAGUCCACGCUGUAAACGAUGAUUACUCGUUGUUGGCGACACACAGUCAGCGACCAAGCGAAAGUGAUAAGUAAUCCACCUGGGAGUACGAUCGCAAGGUUGAA